This is a long non-coding RNA of Oncorhynchus keta (chum salmon), 4504 nucleotides long. RefSeq lists it as uncharacterized. The record is from RefSeq and is a predicted model, not a curated record. The transcript is spliced from 5 exons. NCBI's taxonomy places the organism in Eukaryota, Metazoa, Chordata, Actinopteri, Salmoniformes, Salmonidae.
AUCAGAACAUGGUAUUUAGCGCUGCUGGUUCAAAAUACACAUUGUGGAUGAUCCAUUGACAUUUCUCUCUUUACGCCAUUUCAGUUUCGUUUAUUGUAGUAUCAUUAAGUUUCCUGCCUGUCCGGACCGCUGUGCUUCAUGCGCAAUACACUGAGAAUUUGAGUACAGUACAUAGGAAAUGACUCAUAGGAGUUGAACUGUUAGCGUGGGUGUGUACUCUAUUUAAACAAGGCUCAGACUACUCGGGAUGACUCAGUGCGAGGCUAGCUUUCAAUGGUGAAAACCAACACGGGCUGUUCAUCAGAUGAACUUUCGGGAAUUGCGUUUAUACAAGAACGAUGGCUUCAUACAUUCUCUGUGCGCUUUGUGGACUGAUCGUUGCGACUAUAGUGAAACUAAACGGAGUGAAUGGGCAAAGCCUAUGCACCAGUAAAGAGUUCUGGAGUUCAGACAUAGACCAAUGUGUAUCCUGCUCAACAUGCAAGCAGUAUCCAAAGACUCCUUCAUGUAACACUUGCACAUUUACAGAGGAGAGAUCUGAUGUCUGGAGACUAGCAGCCAUUUCCAGCUUCUCUGUGCUGGCAGUCGUUCUGCUCAUUGCAGCGUUGAUCAUUGGGGUCAUGGUGCAUCGACGCACGGCAAACAAUAGGCCCCUUCGUGAACCUAUUGAAGAGACAACGGGACCUCUUCACCAAGCUUAAACAUUUCAGUAGCUUCAUCUUCCUGCUGACAUCGAUGUGACAGAACCAAGGGAACACCUUUUGAGGACCAAUCAGUCAGAAGAAUUUCUGUACAAUGGACUGUGGGUAUUAUUUGAGUAGAGUUUGACCAUCUUGAAUUUAUACUGCUAGUUAGUAAAGAUGUGCUCACACUCAUUAGACUGUCACAGAACGGAGCUCUCCCGUAGAACUGUGUUGACUCACGCUGUCAAUCCCGUCUUGUCUGAAGUCAGACUGUACUCUGAGGAAGACCGCGUGGUUCGUAAAGAGUAGCUCUCACAGCUCUUUUUGUAUUGAUGUCCUUUGACUAGUGAUGCUAGUUUUAGCCAGUGUAGAUAUUCCAAUCUAUCGAUAAGUCAUUUGUUCAACAAUAAGUAGGUUUAAAAACAGUAGUGAACAUGAGACAUAUCUUGAAUGAUUUGUAUUUAUUACCAUAACUGUCAAUGCUUGAACACCUAUUGGUGUCAGACAUAUUGUACAUUUAGAUUUUUAGGUAGAAUACCAGCAAACACACUGCCUCGACUUGCCACAAGCAGGAUGAAUGUGAAUACAGCACAAUCAAGCUUUCUGUGCCAGGUUUGACCUGCUGUACUUCUAAGACUAAAAGGUUUAUAUUUGCUGGUCAUAUAUAACAACCUCUUGUUGAAGUAUACAAGUGAUAUGUUAGGUGAGUGGUCACCAACCAGUCGAUCGGUCAUAUAAAAUAUAUUUAGAUUUGUUUGAAACUUUUUUUUGGUUACCACACGAUUCCAAGUGUUAUUUCCUAGUUUGUCUUCACUAUUAUUCUACAAUGUAGAAAAUAGUAAAAAUAAAGAAACCCUGGAAUGAGUAGGUGUGCCCAAACGUUUGACUUGGUACUGUAUAUAAUUUCCUGAGCUUUCUUAUAUCUUCUAGAUAUAGGACUAAGACGUAACCUUGUUUCUUAUUAUUUGAAUGUCUUUUUGCCAUUUAUGAAAGUGUGAUUUCAGUAUCUCUCUGGGCUAUAGUAGUAAAGGCCAAAUUCAAUAUUAUAUUAAAAAAAAUAUAUUUAUUUUUAUACCUAAAGGGGUCCUAAAAUUCCAAAUCAAAUAUCUAAAUGAGCCACCUCAUGGAAUCAUUUUAAGAUGAUCAUAUGUCAGCUUAGAUCCCACACCCAGCAAUGCAGAGAAAGUAGAUAAGUAAUAUUUAAAAAACACAAUACAAGUAACAAUAGAUACACAAUUAGUGACUAACUUUGCUAUAUUACAAGGGGUAAUAGUACCGAGUCGAUGUUCAGGGGUACGAGGUAGAUAUGGACAUAUAACUAGGAAUAAAGUGACAGUAGCAGCAGUAUAUGUGAUGAGUCAAAGCGAGUGCAAAAAAAGGGGUCAAUGCAGAUAGUUAACCAAAUACCUAUUCAGACAAACUAUUUCAGGGUCCUGUUACUAGUUUCAACAAAUCAUUUUUAAAGGAGUAGAAUGUUAACAUUUGUGAACUGUAGUCUUCCAAUCACGAGGCAAUGGGGAAAAUAAGUUGUGACUAUGAAACUGCUCAAACAUACUGGACAUUCUUUAACAGGUCAUUUUACCAUUUAUGCUGUCAAAUGUAGACACUGUGUAAUGUGUGCCCUAUGCAGGAUAAAGUAGCAUAACACGGAGGUUCCCAAACUGUUGUGCUGGAUAAGUUCUAGGUGGUCCAGAAUUCUGUGAGAAUAUGUUUAUAUCUAAGCAUUUAAAUCAUUCCCAGAUGGACACAAAUAGGGAAUCCUUACCACUGUGCUCUGAUUCAGAGGGGUUGGGUUAAAUGCGGAACACAUACUACUGGUCCAAAACUUUAGAACACCUACUCAUUCAAGGGUUUUUCUUUAUUUUUAACUAUUUUCUACUUUGUAGAAUAAUAGUGAAGACAGAAAAACGAUGAAAUAACACAUGGAAUCAUGUAGUAAGCGAAAAAGUGUUAAAGAAAUAAAAAAUAUUUUUGAGAUUCUUCAAAUAGCCACCAUUCUACCUUGAUGACAGCUUUGCACACACAUGGCAUUCUCUCAACCAGCUUCAUGAGUUUGUCACCUGGAAUGCAUUUCAAUUAACAGGUGUGCCUUCUAAAUUUGUGGAAUUUCUUUCCUUUUUAAUGUGUUUGAGCCAAUCAGUUGUGUUGUGACAAGGUAUACAGAAGAUAGCCCUAUUUGGUGAAAGACCAAGUCCAUAUUAUGGUAAGAACCGCUCAAAUAAGCAAAGAGAAAUGACAGUCCAUCAUUACUUUAAGACAUGGUCAGUCAAUACGGGAAAAUUAAGAACUUUGAAAGUUUCUUCAAGUGCACUCGCAAGCGCUAUGAUGAAACUGGCUCUCAUUAGGACCGCCACGGGAAAGGAAGACCCAGAAUUACCUCUGCUGCAAAGGAUAAGUUCAUUAGUUACCAGCCUCAGAAAUUGCAGCCUAAAUAAAUGCUUCAGAGUUAAAGUAAAAAACACAUGCCCAACAUCAACUAUUCAGAUGAGACUGUGUGAAUCAGGCUUUUAUAGGUCGAUUUGCUGCAAAGAAAUCACUACUAACGGACACCAAUAAUAAGAGACUUGCUUGGGCCAAGAAACACGAGCAAUGGACAUUAGACCGGUGGAAAUUUGUCCUUUGGUCUGGAGUCCAAAUUGGAUAUUUUUGUUUCCAACCGCCGUGUCUUUGUGAUACGCAGUGUGGGUGAACAGAUGAUCACCGCAUGUGUAUUUCCCAUCGUAAAGCAUGGAGGAGGAGGUGGUGUUAUGGUGUGGGGGUGCUUUGCUAGUGACACUGUCUGUGAUUUCUUCUGCAUUCUGCAGCGAUACGCCAUCCCAUCUAGUUUGGGCUUAGUGGGCCUGUCAUUUGUUUUUCAACAGGACAGUGACCCACAACACACCUCCAGGCUGUGUACGGGCUAUUUUACCAAGAAGGAGAGUGAUGGAGUGCUGCAUCAGAUGACAUGGCCUCCACAAUCCCCCGACCUCAACCAAAUUGUGAUGGUUUGGGAUGAGUCGGACGGCAGAGUGAAGGAAGAGCAGCCAACAAGGGCUCAGCAUAUGUGGGAACUCCUUCAAGACUGUUGGAAAAGCAUUCCAGGUGAAGCUGGUUGAGAGAAUGCCAAGAGUGCAAAGAUGUCAAGGCAGAGGGUGGCUACUUUGAAGAAUCUCAAAUAUAAAAUAUAUUUUGAUUGAACUUUUUUUGGUUAUUACAUGAUUCCAUGUGUUAUUGCAUAGUUUUGUCUUCACUAUUAUUCUACAAUGUAUUAUAGUAGUAAAAAUAAAGGAAAACCCUUGAAUGAGUAGGUGUUCUAAAACUUCUGACCGGGUCGUGUAUUUUGGUUGAAUGCAUUGUUGUGCAACUUACUCAGUAUUCCCUUUCCUCAGUUGAAACAAUGGAGAUGAGUCUAUGCUUGUGUGACAAUGUUUGUAACACUAUUAGUCACCGAAUCUCAACCCAGGAAGGAACAUUGCGGUUUAGCGAAAAAACUGAACCCAAUUGACAAGUAUAACUGUGUACUCAGCUUCACUCUUUAGUCAGAACACAAUUUUAAGGGUUGUGUGUCAGGAGAACGUGGAUGGCUGAAUAAUUACCUCAUGUUACUGACAAUUACUUUUAUCAAUGUUAAGUGGAUAUGGAUAACAGCAGCAAGAAAAGGGCAAUUUAUAUACAGAAUUAUUUAUUUCAAAUUAUAUUUUUGAAUGUUUAUAGUUUGUGUUAACAGCUAAAUGUCUUGAUAAAUACUGUCAAAGGGAUCCCUGCAAAGUUGUUUGUAAAACCAGUGACACCAGCUGACCAACUUUUUGUUACUGAGCAAUAAAUGACAAGUUGUUAAUUUA